This 459-nucleotide ribosomal RNA is filed under the name uncultured bacterium. RNAcentral describes it as "partial 16S ribosomal RNA". It matches the Rfam family "Bacterial small subunit ribosomal RNA", at positions 338 to 795 of the family's 1533-position model. The record is from RNAcentral.
CCUACGGGUGGCAGCAGUGAGGAAUAUUGGUCAAUGGGCGAAAGCCUGAACCAGCCUGCCGCGUGCAGGAAGACGGCCCUAUGAGUUUUUAAACGCUUUUUGACGAGGGUAAACACACAUACGUGUAUCUGCUUGAAAGUAUCCUACGAAAAAGGAUCGGCUAACUCCGUGCCAGCAGCCGCGGUAAUACGGAGGAUGCAAGCGUUAUCCGGAUUUAUUGGGUUUAAAGGGUGCGUAGGCGGUUUAGUAAGUCAGCGGUGAAAUUUUGGUGCUCAACACCAAUCGUGCCGUUGAUACUGCUGAGCUAGAGAGUAGGUGCGGUAGGCGGAAUGUAUGGUGUAGCGGUGAAAUGCUUAGAGAUCAUACAGAACACCGAUUGCGAAGGCAGCAUACCAAAGUAUAACUGACGUUGAGGCACGAAAGCGUGGGGAGCGAACAGGAUUAGAUACCCCAGUAGUC